This 387-nucleotide ribosomal RNA is filed under the name uncultured bacterium. RNAcentral describes it as "bacterial SSU rRNA". It matches the Rfam family "Bacterial small subunit ribosomal RNA", at positions 28 to 417 of the family's 1533-position model. The record is from RNAcentral.
GACGAACGCUGGCGGCGUGCUUAACACAUGCAAGUCGAACGGCAGCACGGGGGCAACCCUGGUGGCGAGUGGCGAACGGGUGAGUAAUACAUCGGAACGUGCCCGGUAGUGGGGGAUAGCUCGGCGAAAGCCGGAUUAAUACCGCAUACGACCUGCGGGUGAAAGCGGGGGAUCGCAAGACCUCGCGCUAUCGGAGCGGCCGAUGUCAGAUUAGGUUGUUGGUGGGGUAAAGGCCUACCAAGCCGACGAUCUGUAGCUGGUCUGAGAGGACGACCAGCCACACUGGGACUGAGACACGGCCCAGACUCCUACGGGAGGCAGCAGUGGGGAAUUUUGGACAAUGGGCGCAAGCCUGAUCCAGCCAUGCCGCGUGCGGGAAGAAGGCCU